RNAcentral lists this ribosomal RNA (502 nucleotides) under uncultured bacterium. Its description in RNAcentral is "partial 16S ribosomal RNA". It matches the Rfam family "Bacterial small subunit ribosomal RNA", at positions 28 to 507 of the family's 1533-position model. The record is from RNAcentral.
GACGAACGCUGGCGGCGUGCUUAACACAUGCAAGUCGAACGGUGAAGGGGUCUGCUUUUGUGGGCCCUGGAUGAGUGGCGAACGGGUGAGUAACACGUGAGUAACCUGCCCCCUUCUUCUGGAUAACCGCAUGAAAGUGUGGCUAAUACGGGAUAUUCUGGGUCUGUCGCAUGAUGGGUCUGGGAAAGAUUGCGCCUUUGGGUGUUUUUGGUGGGGGAUGGGCUCGCGGCCUAUCAGCUUGUUGGUGGGGUGAUGGCCUACCAAGGCGGUGACGGGUAGCCGGCCGGAGAGGGUGGACGGUCACACUGGGACUGAGACACGGCCCAGACUCCUACGGGAGGCAGCAGUGGGGAAUAUUGCACAAUGGGCGCAAGCCUGAUGCAGCGACGCCGCGUGAGGGAGGGAGGCCUUCGGGGUGUAAACCUCUUUCGCCAGUGAAGCAGGCCUGCUCCUUGUGGGUGGGUUGACGGUAGCUGGAGAAGAAGCGCCGGCUAACUACGUG